This is a long non-coding RNA of Solea senegalensis (Senegalese sole), 817 nucleotides long. RefSeq lists it as uncharacterized. The transcript has 3 exons. The record is from RefSeq and is a predicted model, not a curated record. Lineage: Eukaryota; Metazoa; Chordata; Actinopteri; Pleuronectiformes; Soleidae.
AACAAAGGAUUGGAGUGGACAGGUUUGUAGUGUAUAUCACAUCACUUGUUGAUGGUGAAGCAUUUGUUUAAAUUGAGGUCAAACAUUUUCAGGUGUCUGCUUUGUCAAUAUUCUGGUGCCACGACUUGCUAAACACACGAGAAGUUCUGAAUUAUGAAACUGCUGCCUUUUGCAAAUGCUACAACAGCAAUGGCUGUUGAAAGACUACAAGGAGAGAAAUUGAGAUCUGAGGACAGGAAGGUGGAAUUGAUUUCAUGCUUAGCAAAGUGACGGUUUAAGCAGAGGACCUUUUGUGGCAAGGCUACAGAAUCAGAAGGAACGUUUAUCUGGGCAACUGUGAGAUUUACAGUUUUUCAUGCAGCCGACCAAGACACUGGGGUUAGCAUCAUCCCAAAUGGCUGGCAAAGUGAGGCACAAAGUGAGUGGAUUGCUGCUUUUUGCAGAGAAAGCUACAGGGCAUGAGGCUUGGUGUUCUGAUAUUGAAUUGUGGUUGGAGGCAGCGGUAGCUUGGGAAACUGUCAGCGUAGGACAGGCAGGUAUAGGUUAGGGAGGGCAUCCAUUGGUGGGCCCUGACUGGAUGUGAGGACCUAUCACACUUGGCCAGAGAUGAUAAAGGCUGCAGCAGAUUUCUGAUCAGAGGACUCCAUGUUGGACACCAUGCAGCCAUGAACUGACCCCUCUACAAUGAGGACUUUGCUCAAGAUGAACCAACCCUUCUAUGAUGACACCUCUUUUCAUGGGAUGUCUUCAGAUAUUGGACCAUGCCAAGCUGUAAACGUGCCUCAAUGGCUGCUAUGUCACUCUGCCCAACAGGACA